This 123-nucleotide small nucleolar RNA is filed under the name Nannospalax galili (Upper Galilee mountains blind mole rat). RNAcentral describes it as "Small nucleolar RNA SNORA40 (ENSNGAG00000009027.1)". It matches the Rfam family "Small nucleolar RNA SNORA40". From Rfam's summary of the family: The snoRNA ACA 40 belongs to the H/ACA family of snoRNAs and guides the pseudouridylation of 28S rRNA subunit at position U4565. NB This family has a high threshold value to exclude a large number of closely related sequences that do not appear to have conserved H and ACA boxes, and may be pseudogenes. Lineage: Eukaryota; Metazoa; Chordata; Mammalia; Rodentia; Spalacidae. The record is from RNAcentral.
UGUGUGUGUGCUUGUUCGACUGGUGGACAAAUGUAUGAAAGACAGGCACAAAAAUAAAUCCCCUUUUGCAACCUAGAACUCAUUGUUCGAUAUGAAUUUUGAUGCGUACAAGGACUGUGGAGC